This 484-nucleotide ribosomal RNA is filed under the name uncultured bacterium. RNAcentral describes it as "partial 16S ribosomal RNA". It matches the Rfam family "Bacterial small subunit ribosomal RNA", at positions 30 to 507 of the family's 1533-position model. The record is from RNAcentral.
AUUGAACGCUGGCGGCAGGCCUAACACAUGCAAGUCGAGCGGAUGAAGGGAGCUUGCUCCUGGAUUCAGCGGCGGACGGGUGAGUAAUGCCUAGGAAUCUGCCUGGUAGUGGGGGAUAACGUCCGGAAACGGGCGCUAAUACCGCAUACGUCCUGAGGGAGAAAGUGGGGGAUCUUCGGACCUCACGCUAUCAGAUGAGCCUAGGUCGGAUUAGCUAGUUGGUGGGGUAAAGGCCUACCAAGGCGACGAUCCGUAACUGGUCUGAGAGGAUGAUCAGUCACACUGGAACUGAGACACGGUCCAGACUCCUACGGGAGGCAACAGUGGGGAAUAUUGGACAAUGGGCGAAAGCCUGAUCCAGCUAUGCCGCGUGUGUGAAGAAGGUCUUCGGAUUGUAAAGCACUUUAAGUUGGGAGGAAGGGCAGUAAGUUAAUACCUUGCUGUUUUGACGUCACCAACAGAAUAAGCACCGGCUAACUUCGUG